GGAAACUUUUUAAAUUUUAUUCUAUUUUUCUCUUGGGCAAUUUUUGCUUUGCUGUUUGGUUUGAGGUCAGUCGCCAAAGGCAAUAGCAUUGUGUGCAUGUGUGCAUGGUUAAAAUGAAAAGUUGGCUAACAACAUUUUUAUUCAAAAAUCAUUAACAUACAAAUCUAAUCAAAAACAAAAUGAAUAUAGUAAGCAACAAGAAUUAAAUCAUUUUUUUUUCAUUGUUUUAAUUUUAAUGAGUAAUUCCUUUCUUCAAUUCCUUAUUUUUUCAUCCUUCCAUUCAUUCAUUCAUGCAUUCCAUCAUUCCUCCUUGAUGCAAUGGAUCGCAUGGAUAUACAUACAUUGAUUUGUGAAUCGUGUGCAUCUAUUGAUGGAUGGGAGUUGUAUGUGUUUGUGUGAUGAGGGUUUGUUGAAGCAAGGCAUUGUCGAGGAUGCCCUCUAUUUUGUGUUGUGUUUUAGAUUAAAAGUUUAAUGUGUUUAUCUCUUUAAUAUACAUUGUUACACAAAAUCUCUGUUUAUGAUAUUCAUUUCGUUCCUAUAGUUUAUUCGAAUGAAUUGAAUUGAAUUGACUAGACUGACUAUGCAUACCAAUCUUGUUGCUUCUAUUGUUUAACGAAAUACGCAUAGAAUGCUCGGAUUGUCGACUUUAUCAUAGUUUUACGAAGUGAAAUUUUUUUAAAUGCUGCACUCACAUACUGACUGUGUGAUGUGAAAGAUGAAAGUGUCAUAUCAAAUUUAAUCAAAUGAACCCAAGGGAGAGUGAAUAUUAUGAAUUCACUCAUCCUUGAUGUUGGCAGAACGAGUCGUUUUGUCUGCAUAUUCAAACAACCCCCUUAAAACUAUCUCAAACGAAACUAAACUCGGGCAUGCAUUUCAACGUUUUGCAUGGUCUAAUCAUUUUUUGCAUUGACUAUAUCUUUAUUUGCAUUUCACUAUAUUGUUUUGCACUUUACUAGAUCGUUUUUGCAUCUAUGGUACGUUUUGCACUAAUGAAUUUUUUGCACUCACUCAAUUUAAACUGCUUCCAAGAAUAAAACGUUUUUAUUUUUAUUUUUUUUUCUUUUCCUUUGCCGUCCGUUGUUUGUCACCCUCAACUACACAAAAUAUCGACUCCGUGACUGUCAUGUUUUAUCUUUCACACGAAUGACGAUGAAAUGUGACAGUUUAUCUGGUCAGGAUGAUUGUACAGCCUGGGCCUUGGUUUGCAUACAAUUGAACGAAUUGUGAGUGAUUUAAUGGUGGUUAAUCUUAGAAAUACUAUAAUCUACUUCAACCAAUUCUAUUACUUCAUUUUUUGCUUUGCUGAUACGGCAUGGUUGCCUCAUGUGUAGGACAUUUGUCUGACAAACCAAUUAUCCCUACACGGGAAGAGAAUUCCUUGGGUUAAACGGCAUGUGGUCAUUAUCAAGGUUUCGUUAACUUUUGUCCCACAGGAUGAGGUUGCCAAAUCGUAAUACCAGCCUGGGUCUCAAGAGAGAAAAUGCGACAAGGGAUGCAUCGGCAAAUGCCAACUCAAAGAUGUCACUUUUACAGUAUUCAUGAGCAAUGUGGUGGUGAUAGACUCAAGUAACUGUGUUAAAAUUAAGACAGGGGCCUGCUAAAAUGAACUUACGAAUAAAUCGCUUUUUCCUUCGGACAUUCAAAUCAGUAAGUCAAAGUGUGAAAGCGUCAUUGGUUGUGUUAUUCGAGACUUGUAAGUCGGCAGUAAAUCUAUCUGUAGCGAGUGUGUUUGAGAAAGGAGGAAAUUUUUGCAUUGUUCAUUAGCAGACUUGACAUUUACCGUGUAGGUAUUUAAGGUGGCAGGCUUGCCAGCUAGAAAUUUCAGUGUGAAAAAAAAAAUAAAAGUCUUCAAAACUGGUCGUAAAAUGUCUGGUGGCUGGGAUGAAUCAAAAUAUGUCGA
RNAcentral lists this long non-coding RNA (1900 nucleotides) under Schizosaccharomyces pombe (fission yeast). Its description in RNAcentral is "tgp1 sense interfering RNA". The record is from RNAcentral. Lineage: Eukaryota; Fungi; Ascomycota; Schizosaccharomycetes; Schizosaccharomycetales; Schizosaccharomycetaceae.